RNAcentral lists this ribosomal RNA (253 nucleotides) under uncultured bacterium. RNAcentral's name for it is "partial 16S ribosomal RNA". It matches the Rfam family "Bacterial small subunit ribosomal RNA", at positions 524 to 776 of the family's 1533-position model. The record is from RNAcentral.
UACGUAGGGUGCAAGCGUUGUCCGGAAUUAUUGGGCGUAAAGAGCUCGUAGGCGGUUUGUUGCGUCGGCUGUGAAAUCCCGAGGCUCAACCUCGGGUCUGCAGUCGAUACGAGCAAACUAGAGUGUUGCAGGGGAGACUGGAAUUCCUGGUGUAGCGGUGAAAUGCGCAGAUAUCAGGAGGAACACCAAUUGCGAAGGCAGCUCGAUGGGACGUAACUGACGCUGAGACGCGAAAGCGUGGGGAGCAAACAGG